UACGUAGGCAGCAAGCGUUGUUCGGAGUUACUGGGCGUAAAGAGUGCGUAGGCGGUGCCCUAAGUCUGUUGUGAAAUCUCCCGGCUUAACUGGGAGGGUGCGGUGGAAACUGGGGUGCUUGAGUGUGGGAGAGGUUAGCGGAAUUCCUGGUGUAGCGGUGAAAUGCGUAGAUAUCAGGAGGAACACCGGUGGUGUAGACGGCUAACUGGACCACGACUGACGCUGAGGCACGAAAGCGUGGGUAGCAAACAGG
RNAcentral lists this ribosomal RNA (253 nucleotides) under uncultured bacterium. Its description in RNAcentral is "partial 16S ribosomal RNA". It matches the Rfam family "Bacterial small subunit ribosomal RNA", at positions 524 to 776 of the family's 1533-position model. The record is from RNAcentral.